AGCGGCUUGAGUAUUAAGACUGAUUUGAGGCGCAUAAGGUGAUAUGUUGAUAUUGAUGUGAUACCGACCAAAUUGACUGCUAAAGAGGACUGUAUGGACGGCGGUAUAAUAUAGGCUGUCAAUUUUUCGUGAAGUGGUUGUUCUAUAUACUGUCGCUUAGCGGUCAGCUCUGCUUUGGUUAUAACUCGUGUUUACAGUCUACGUUGAAAAGGAAGCAAGGUUACUGUGCACAUUUAAACUGUCUUUGUUCGGUUAGAUCCCACAGCCUCAGAGUCUCUAUAUUAGGCUUGGCCACAAAAGGAGCAGUGUGUCACUGACGUCGGUCGGUAUUAAAAGAGGAACGCUUUGAAAAAUCUCUAUUUCAGUUGGGCCUUGAGUUGUACAAUUCUCGGAUAUACCACAUUCUCAUAGAGUCAUUAUAUGAUACUUGUACUAUUUCAUAGUAUGAUGUAUUAGUUUUCUUAAAAAAAGCCAAAAGAAAAAGAUCUGGCAACGCCACAAGAAAGCGUCGUUCAGUUCAAGCUCAGUUCAAGUUAAACAGACUAUUGGCAUUGGCACAAGAAAAAUCAGACCUCAUAUUUGUUAAG
Molecule: non-coding RNA, 587 nt
Organism: Paramuricea clavata
Lineage: Eukaryota; Metazoa; Cnidaria; Anthozoa; Malacalcyonacea; Plexauridae
Source: the annotation of a GenBank genome assembly